RNAcentral lists this ribosomal RNA (244 nucleotides) under uncultured bacterium. RNAcentral's name for it is "partial small subunit ribosomal RNA". It matches the Rfam family "Bacterial small subunit ribosomal RNA", at positions 26 to 285 of the family's 1533-position model. The record is from RNAcentral.
AGAAUCAACGCUGGCGGCGUGCCUAACACAUGCAAGUCGAACGAGAAAGUGGAGCAAUCCAUGAGUAAAGUGGCGACCGGGUGAGUAACACGUGACUAACCUACCUUCGAGUGGGGGAUAACCUCGGGAAACCGAGGCUAAUACCGCAUAACAUCGCAAGAUCAAAGCAGCAAUGCGCUGGAAGAGGGGGUCGCGGCUGAUUAGCUAGUUGGCGGGGUAACGGCCCACAAGGCGAAGAUCGGUA